AUGAAUUACACUGAGAGUCUUGUUUCUAUUGAGGGGAUGGUGAGUGUUGGAGAAGGAGCUGUCAAAGAAGAGAGACAGGAGGCAGCUCCACUCGCUGCAACUAAUAGGAAUGCUUCGAAUGCUAUGAUGUCAGACAAUAUGGACUGAGUCUCUCAAAAAAUUGUUGCCGUGUGUAAGUUGGUUUUUGGCUUUCUGUGAAAGUAAGGAAAGACAAUGACUUGGAGAAAUCUUGUUAUAUGCACAACAGUUGAUGGUUGUAUAAUAAUUAAAAAAAAUCUGUAUUGGAGCCCUCGACUUCUUUUAUUGUUAUUGUAAUUUUGUUAUUAAUUCAGAAUGUUCUUUGAUAGUUAUA
This is a long non-coding RNA of Daucus carota subsp. sativus, 352 nucleotides long. RefSeq lists it as uncharacterized. The record is from RefSeq and is a predicted model, not a curated record. Lineage: Eukaryota; Viridiplantae; Streptophyta; Magnoliopsida; Apiales; Apiaceae. The transcript has 3 exons.